GACGAACGCUGGCGGCGUGCCUAAUACAUGCAAGUCGAACGCACUCUCGUUUAGAUUGAAGGAGCUUGCUCCUGAUUGAUAAACAUUUGAGUGAGUGGCGGACGGGUGAGUAACACGUGGGUAACCUGCCCUAAAGUGGGGGAUAACAUUCGGAAACAGAUGCUAAUACCGCAUAAAACCUAAACACCGCAUGGUGUAGGGUUGAAAGAUGGUUUCGGCUAUCACUUUAGGAUGGACCCGCGGUGCAUUAGUUAGUUGGUGAGGUAAAGGCUCACCAAGACCGUGAUGCAUAGCCGACCUGAGAGGGUAAUCGGCCACACUGGGACUGAGACACGGCCCAGACUCCUACGGGAGGCAGCAGUAGGGAAUCUUCCACAAUGGACGAAAGUCUGAUGGAGCAAACGCCGCGUGAGUGAAGAAGGUUUUCGGAUCGUAAAAACUCUGUUGUUGGAGAAGAAUGUAUCUGAUAGUAACUGAUCAGGUAGUGACGGUAU
This 494-nucleotide ribosomal RNA is filed under the name uncultured bacterium. RNAcentral describes it as "bacterial SSU rRNA". It matches the Rfam family "Bacterial small subunit ribosomal RNA", at positions 28 to 478 of the family's 1533-position model. The record is from RNAcentral.